RNAcentral lists this unclassified non-coding RNA (344 nucleotides) under Hevea brasiliensis (rubber tree). The record is from RNAcentral. Lineage: Eukaryota; Viridiplantae; Streptophyta; Magnoliopsida; Malpighiales; Euphorbiaceae.
CAGAUCAAAAGCGUCCUUCAGCUCCUUAUCCCCGCCGUUCUGCGUUGUUCCAUCGGCGCCGCCGUCCAUUCCGCCGUGCUGGAUGAAGUCGACAAACUCGUCAAGGUCAAUGUGGCCGGCGCCGUCCUUGUCAAACUCCUGCAUCAUGCACUGAACCUCCUCGGUUGAUAUUUUGGUGCCGAGCUCACCCAAGCUAUCUAUAACCUCAGAAGAUGAGAUCUUUCCGUCGCCGUUUUUGUCGAACUUGUUGAAUAUUCUUCGUAUUUCGUCCAUGGAGCCGACGAGAUUAGGAGGGCCUGAUCUCGCCAUUGCAGAAAGUAAGACGAAGAGGAAGAAAAUGGAAU